This 305-nucleotide ribosomal RNA is filed under the name uncultured bacterium. RNAcentral describes it as "bacterial SSU rRNA". It matches the Rfam family "Bacterial small subunit ribosomal RNA", at positions 333 to 635 of the family's 1533-position model. The record is from RNAcentral.
GAUUUCCUACGGGGGGCAGCAGUGAGGAAUAUUGGUCAAUGGCCGGAAGGCUGAACCAGCCACGUCGCGUGAGGGAAUAAGGCCCUAUGGGUCGUAAACCGCUUUUGUCAGGGAGCAAAGGCGUCCACGAGUGGACGAAAGGAGAGUACCUGAAGAAAAAGCAUCGGCUAACUCCGUGCCAGCAGCCGCGGUAAUACGGAGGAUGCGAGCGUUAUCCGGAUUUAUUGGGUUUAAAGGGUGCGUAGGCGGCGUGUCAAGUCAGCGGUAAAAUUUCGGGGCUCAACCCCGUAGUGCCGUUGAAACUG